Molecule: ribosomal RNA, 426 nt
Filed under: uncultured bacterium
Lineage: Bacteria
Description: bacterial SSU rRNA
Rfam family: Bacterial small subunit ribosomal RNA
Source: RNAcentral
GGGGAAUAUUGCGCAAUGGACGAAAGUCUGACGCAGCGACGCCGCGUGAGGGAAGAAGGUCUUCGGAUCGUAAACCUCUGUCAGGAGGGAAGAACCCCUUAGGUUCGAAUAGGACCUUUGGCUGACGGUACCUCCAGAGGAAGCACCGGCUAACUCCGUGCCAGCAGCCGCGGUAAUACGGAGGGUGCAAGCGUUAAUCGGAAUCACUGGGCGUAAAGCGUGCGUAGGCGGCUUGGCAAGUCAGGCGUGAAAGCCCUCGGCUCAACCGGGGAAUUGCGCUUGAAACUGCCAGGCUUGAGUUCGGGAGAGGGUGGCGGAAUUCCGGGUGUAGGAGUGAAAUCCGUAGAUAUCCGGAGGAACACCAGUGGCGAAGGCGGCCACCUGGACCGAUACUGACGCUGAGGUACGAAAGCGUGGGGAGCAAAC